AUGCCAAAAGUCACCACAGAACUUCAUAAGCCAAAAGCAGUACAUGAAAAGAAAGAAGGCAGACCAUUGAAGGCGGUGGAACCAGAGAAAACAAAACCAAAAGAAACAAAACAUGUCAAAGAAAAAGAAGCAAAGCAUGAUGUGGCAGUGAAGGACAAAGCCAUGAUAGAAGUUCAUAAGCCAAAAGCCACCACAGAAGUUCAUAAGCCAAAAGAUGCCCCAAAAGAAAAAGUGAAGCCUCCAACUCCUGCCAAAGGAAAGGAUAUUCCAAAAGAAAAAGUGAAGCCUCCAGCUCCUGCCAAAGUAAAGGAUGUACCAAAAGAAAAAGUGAAGCCUCCAGCUCCUACCAAAGAAAAGGAUGUGCCAAAAGAAAAAUUGAAGCCUCCGGCUCCUACCAAAGGAAAGGAUGCACCAAAAGAAAAAGUGAAGCCUCCAGUUCCUGCCAAAGAAAAGGAUAUGCCAAAAGAAAAAGCAAAGCCCCCAGCUCCCACCAAAGAAAAGGCUGCACCAAAAGAAAAAGUUAAGCCUUCAGCUCCUAUCAAAGAAAAGGAUGCUCCAAAAGAAAAAGUGAAGCCUCCAGCUCCUGCCAAAGCAAAGGAUACCCCAAAAGAAAAAGUGAAGCCUCCAGCUCCUGCCAAAGAAAAAGAGGCCACAAAACCAAAGGAAGAACAUCCUCCCAUUCCCCAGAAGCAGAAAGGACAGGAGGCUGUUAAGCACGACAAAGAAGUUCUUCACAAAAAAACAGCCAAGCCCAAAGAAACUGCAAAGCCAUCUGCUGAAAAAACAGUAACAGACAAGAAGAAAGCAGAAAAAGCACAGAAGGAGAAAGAUGGUGAGGGCUGGAAAUAUUUUAUCAAUGCAUUAAAAAAUUGA
This 873-nucleotide long non-coding RNA is filed under the name Anolis carolinensis (green anole). Its description in RNAcentral is "lncRNA (ENSACAG00000042304.1)". The record is from RNAcentral. Lineage: Eukaryota; Metazoa; Chordata; Lepidosauria; Squamata; Anolidae.